GUGCGAAAACGAACCCUCCCGACGGGUAAGGGGUCAGUUACCUUUCGGUCGGGUUUGUGCGAAAACGAACCCUCCCGACGGGUAAGGGGUCAGUUACCCUUCGGUCGGGUUUGUGCGAAAACGAACCCUCCCGACGGGUAAGGGGUCAGUUACCUUUCGGCGGGUUUGUGCGAAAACGAACCCUCCCGACGGGUAAGGGGUCAGUUACCCUUCGGUUGGGUUUGUGCGAAAACGAACCCUCCCGACGGGUAAGGGGUCAGUUACCCUUCGGUCGGGUUUGUGUGAAAACAAACUCUCCCGACACUGGAGAAGUGAAAACUACUCCAGUGACAACAAAAUCUCCAGCGACUCAUGGGGGAGAAAAGUCCUCAAGGGACCCACCCACUCUCCAACUGCUCCCAACAAUGGCCGAUGGAAAAGACCUUCGCUGUCAUCGCUCAUGGAUGAUCUCAGUGCUCCUGCUAUCGGGCUCAGAUGUCUUAAGAAAUGCUGCAGGACUUCUGCUGGAUCAUCUUGUUUUUCGUCUUGGAUUUUGCCCUUCAUCGGAUCCCCAUCAUCCGAUAGAAAAGGCCAUCAUCUCCUCCUCCCACCCCUUGCUGAUGGAUGACACUAAUUACCCUAACAGUCUCAGUAGUCUUCCUCAAGAAAUACUGCAGGAACCAUCCUGGAUCAUUGCCCCAACAACAAUGGAAAAGAACCUAAAUGCCACCCCACUGAUGGAUGACCUUUGUGACCCUGCCAUCGGGCUCAGCAGUCUUCCUCAAAAAAUGCUGCUGGAAUCCACCUGGAUCAUCUUUGUUUUUUUUCCCAAUCCGCAGACAGAAGAAGUAGCUGAACUUGAACACUUAUCAAAAGGACUUCAGUUUAUCUUUUGUUUUUGUUUUCUUUCUACCAAAAACUGGAUAAGUCUUCAGUCUGGUACUUUGGGCUCAUUUAGCCAUUUUUUUUUAUUAAGAAUUCUGUUUAGAGAGUUCAUAAUUCUUUUUGUUAUAUUUAUUUUACAUG
Long non-coding RNA from Poeciliopsis prolifica (blackstripe livebearer), 1005 nucleotides. RefSeq lists it as uncharacterized. The record is from RefSeq and is a predicted model, not a curated record. NCBI's taxonomy places the organism in Eukaryota, Metazoa, Chordata, Actinopteri, Cyprinodontiformes, Poeciliidae. The transcript is spliced from 4 exons.